Molecule: ribosomal RNA, 477 nt
Filed under: Veillonella atypica
Lineage: Bacteria; Bacillati; Bacillota; Negativicutes; Veillonellales; Veillonellaceae
Description: bacterial SSU rRNA
Rfam family: Bacterial small subunit ribosomal RNA
Source: RNAcentral
GACGAACGCUGGCGGCGUGCUUAACACAUGCAAGUCGAACGAAGAGAGAUGGAAGCUUGCUUCUAUGGAUCUUAGUGGCGAACGGGUGAGUAACGCGUAAUCAACCUGCCCUUCAGAGGGGGACAACAGUUGGAAACGACUGCUAAUACCGCAUACGAUCCAAUCUCGGCAUCGAGAGUGGAUGAAAGGUGGCCUCUAUUUAUAAGCUAUCACUGAAGGAGGGGAUUGCGUCUGAUUAGCUAGUUGGAGGGGUAACGGCCCACCAAGGCGAUGAUCAGUAGCCGGUCUGAGAGGAUGAACGGCCACAUUGGGACUGAGACACGGCCCAGACUCCUACGGGAGGCAGCAGUGGGGAAUCUUCCGCAAUGGACGAAAGUCUGACGGAGCAACGCCGCGUGAGUGAUGACGGCCUUCGGGUUGUAAAGCUCUGUUAAUCGGGACGAAUGGUUCUUGUGCGAAUAGUGCGAGGAUUUGACG